This 85-nucleotide transfer RNA is filed under the name Bacteroidota bacterium. Its description in RNAcentral is "tRNA-Leu". It matches the Rfam family "tRNA". From Rfam's summary of the family: Transfer RNA (tRNA) molecules are approximately 80 nucleotides in length. Their secondary structure includes four short double-helical elements and three loops (D, anti-codon, and T loops). RNAcentral also lists the same sequence under 1 other name. The record is from RNAcentral. Lineage: Bacteria; Pseudomonadati; Bacteroidota.
GCCUUGGUGGCGGAAUUGGUAGACGCGCUGGACUCAAAAUCCAGUAUCCCUUAAAGAUGUAUGGGUUCGAGUCCCAUCCGAGGCA